Small nuclear RNA from Cercocebus atys (sooty mangabey), 70 nucleotides. Its record names the gene U7. It matches the Rfam family "U7 small nuclear RNA". From Rfam's summary of the family: Animal histone pre-mRNAs are spliced by a different mechanism than nuclear pre-mRNAs and self-splicing introns. This processing involves the U7 snRNP, which contains only one RNA species: U7. NCBI's taxonomy places the organism in Eukaryota, Metazoa, Chordata, Mammalia, Primates, Cercopithecidae. The record is from Ensembl.
CCGUGUUACAGCUCUUUUAGAAUUCUUCUAGCAGGUUUUCCAGUCUUCGAUAAAUGUGUAAAAAACACAU